AGCGUCACUGAUACCCAGGUUAGUAUCACUGAUACCCAGGUUAGUGUCACUGAUACCCAGGUUAGCAUCACUGAUACCCAGGUUAGAGUCAGUGAUACCCAGGUUAGUGUCACUGAUACCCAGGUUAGUGUCACUGAUACCCAGGUUAGUGUCACUGAUACCCAGCUUAGAGUUAAUGAUACCCAGGUUAGUGUCACUGAUACCCAGGUUAGAGUCAGUGAUACCCAGGUUAGUGUCACUGAUACCCAGGUUAGCAUCACUGAUACCCAGGUUAGAGUCACUGAUACCCAGGUUAGUGUCACUGAUACCCAGGUUAGUGUCACUGAUAUCCAGGUUAGAAUCACAUUUCUUGAAUUUAGGCUUUAAGCGGUUGAGAACAUUUCUUGAAUUUAGGCUUUGGGUGGUUGAAAACAUUUCUUAGGUUAAGGCUUUAGGUUAUUUUGCUUUUUGAUCUCAUGUGAGUAGCAUAGUUCUUCUUAGCUCAUGGCAAUGUGAAUAUUUCUAUUGUAGUUCAAGACUAUCAAUUGAGGUAUUUCUAAUUGCAUUAUUGAAAUGAUUCCUCAUGGGUAUUAGAGGUGGUGAGUUCAUACAUUGUCAUUUCAUCAGCAUGUCGGUGCCAAAGUGGAGCUCGGUGCAUUGUGUAGAGAAACAGUGUACAUUUUGUGUUUAUUUUUGUGUGAUAUUGUACAGAUCAAAAUUGUGAUACUGUCAAAUCAAACCAAUGUCUUUAAAUUCGUCAUAGUAUUGUGUUUCUGCCUCAUUGGCAGAUGAUUAUAAUGGCCAUUUGUUUUAUUUCUGAUUUUGUUCGCAGUGAUGAUAUUAUUUUGCAAAGAAAGCAGCAGUUUUAGUUGUUCUUAACUAAGUACAGAUUUCCAGUGAGCUUUUAAAGAUAAAACACUGCCUGGUUUGAACAUGUGUAGUUUGCCUUUGUGGUGAUGUAUCUAAAGGACAAAUUCUGAGUUUAUGUAAUGAAAAAGUUAUUGAUGCACAGGGUUGAAGGGCAAGGGAUUUCUAGUUGUAUGCUUAUCGUGAGAAGCCACUAACCAGAUUGUGCAUGUUAUGUUAUCCAGAUUUAAAUAGAAUACUGUUAAAUGUUUCAUUAAUCCAAAGUCACUGACAAUAUAAGAAUUAAGAAAAUCUUACUUCUAAGACUGCUGGUGGAAUCAUGGUUAUUGUUUCCAUAACAUCAUCUAGUGAUGUUUCCCCUGUCAUCUUAGCACUAAGACUUUGGACUUUGGAUAGCCAGAGCUAUGGAAACUGGAGAUUUAUGUCACCUUUUGGGGGGAACACGUUUUCUGUACAAUAUUGUCUUGGAUUAAUAAUGCAUAAAAUUUUAACACAUGCUUCUCCAGCCUGUCCACAGCUCGGAAUUUGUCUUUGUUGUUGAUGUGAUACAUGAGAAUACUGGGGUGGUGAUAUACAUAAGUAUUGUAAGUAUAAUUAGCUGCAAGACUGCAGAUUGUGUGUCCCAUGACAUGAUACAUCGAUAGGAUUUUCCCCUCAAAUUUUACAUGUUAGAAGAACCACUAAAUUUACAUUUUAAUAUUUUCAGUAAAGUGCUGUCUUACAUUUUAAGUUGUGGAAUUCAUUUUAGAAUGUCUCUCUUUCAGUUUUGCAUGAUAAACAUGAUUUAUUAUUAAAUAAGUUUUCGUUGUUGAACUUUUGGUUGCCAUGGUUAACUGUAAUAUUGUGAUCUUCGGUUGUGUCCUGUACAUUGUCCAAUUUUGUACAUUGUGUAAGAUGGAUACAAAUACUUAAUGAUGUUUCAAAACACUUUCUUAUAGUUUCAAUUGUCCAUUCAAUAUUCCAAGAACUGAAAUUUAUGAAAGUGCAGUUUGACUUUGAAUUGAUUGUGUGCAUUGAGUAGUUCCCUAUCAGUCAUAUAGAAAGCAUCUAUUUCCAAAUGACACAAUCUUGGCUGUUAUAAGAUGUUGAGUUUGGUAGGUCUAUAGUCAUCAUGGCAUGCACAUACUUAAAUUUUAUCUGAAUUUAAUUCUCUCAGUGAACACAGUUAUAAUAGUAAACGAUAGAAUAAACAAAAUGAACGU
RNAcentral lists this long non-coding RNA (2048 nucleotides) under Haliotis rubra (blacklip abalone). RNAcentral's name for it is "uncharacterized LOC124289031". Lineage: Eukaryota; Metazoa; Mollusca; Gastropoda; Lepetellida; Haliotidae. The record is from RNAcentral.